Long non-coding RNA from Uranotaenia lowii, 407 nucleotides. RefSeq lists it as uncharacterized. Lineage: Eukaryota; Metazoa; Arthropoda; Insecta; Diptera; Culicidae. The record is from RefSeq and is a predicted model, not a curated record. The transcript is spliced from 3 exons.
CAGAAGUUGUGAAACGAGGACUGCCGUACGAAAUAAAUUAUCCUUGCCUCAAUUUUGCUCACCAUGAAUAGAUAAUAUCCGUGUAAGUCGUAUCCACAUUUAAAUUUGAACUUCAGAAAAGGAAUAUACCUAAAUAUGUGGGCCGUGAACAAGCCGCUGCAAUUUCUGUUACAAAACAAUCCAAUUUUAAAAAACUGCAGAAAUAGAUUCUACAUGAGGAAGUUAUUGGCUGAAACCAAAGAAAACAAAAUUGAAGAAAAUUAUCAAUUUUUACGGCAAAUCCUCGCAUUCAACGUUGGAAUAAUGAUGAGCUCAAUCGACCCACAUUUCCUAAGUGUCCAUCAAUGAACUUCCCGUCGAAAUAAUCUGCCUUUGAUGUUUGUUGGAAUGUACUAGGUGCUGGAUGU